This 344-nucleotide unclassified non-coding RNA is filed under the name soil metagenome. Its description in RNAcentral is "partial contains 5.8S ribosomal RNA, internal transcribed spacer 2, and large subunit ribosomal RNA". The stretch from base 1 to 120 matches the Rfam family "5.8S ribosomal RNA", at positions 35 to 154 of the family's 154-position model. The record is from RNAcentral.
GAUGAAGAACGUAGCGAAAUGCGAUAAGUAAUGUGAAUUGCAGAAUUCCGUGAAUCAUCGAAUCUUUGAACGCACAUUGCGCCCUCUGGUAUUCCGGGGGGCAUGCCUGUCCGAGCGUCAUUUGCAACCCUCAAGCCCGGCUUGUGUGAUGGGUGCCGUCCCCUACGGGACGCGCCCCGAAGGCAAUGGCGGCGUCGCGGUUAUCCGAUCAGCCAAAGUGUAUGGGGCUUUGUCACUCACUUUACGGCCCGGACCGGCGCCAGUCCGAAUCAAUCUUUUUUCUAAAGUUGACCUCGGAUCAGGUAGGGAUACCCGCUGAACUUAAGCAUAUCAUAAGCGGAGGA